CAAGUCGAACGAUGAUGCCAGCUUGCUGGUGGAUUAGUGGCGAACGGGUGAGUAACACGUGAGUAACCUGCCCUUAACUCUGGGAUAAGCCUGGGAAACUGGGUCUAAUACCGGAUAUGACUCCUCAUCGCAUGGUGGGGGGUGGAAAGCUUUAUUGUGGUUUUGGAUGGACUCGCGGCCUAUCAGCUUGUUGGUGAGGUAAUGGCUCACCAAGGCGACGACGGGUAGCCGGCCUGAGAGGGUGACCGGCCACACUGGGACUGAGACACGGCCCAGACUCCUACGGGAGGCAGCAGUGGGGAAUAUUGCACAAUGGGCGAAAGCCUGAUGCAGCGACGCCGCGUGAGGGAUGACGGCCUUCGGGUUGUAAACCUCUUUCAGUAGGGAAGAAGCGAAAGUGACGGUACCUGCAGAAGAAGCGCCGGCUAACUACGUGCCAGCAGCCGCGGUAAUACGUAGGGCGCAAGCGUUAUCCGGAAUUAUUGGGCGUAAAGAGCUCGUAGGCGGUUUGUCGCGUCUGCCGUGAAAGUCCGGGGCUCAACUCCGGAUCUGCGGUGGGUACGGGCAGACUAGAGUGAUGUAGGGGAGACUGGAAUUCCUGGUGUAGCGGUGAAAUGCGCAGAUAUCAGGAGGAACACCGAUGGCGAAGGCAGGUCUCUGGGCAUUAACUGACGCUGAGGAGCGAAAGCAUGGGGAGCGAACAGGAUUAGAUACCCUGGUAGUCCAUGCCGUAAACGUUGGGCACUAGGUGUGGGGGACAUUCCACGUUUUCCGCGCCGUAGCUAACGCAUUAAGUGCCCCGCCUGGGGAGUACGGCCGCAAGGCUAAAACUCAAAGGAAUUGACGGGGGCCCGCACAAGCGGCGGAGCAUGCGGAUUAAUUCGAUGCAACGCGAAGAACCUUACCAAGGCUUGACAUGAACCGGAAAUACCUGGAAACAGGUGCCCCGCUUGCGGUCGGUUUACAGGUGGUGCAUGGUUGUCGUCAGCUCGUGUCGUGAGAUGUUGGGUUAAGUCCCGCAACGAGCGCAACCCUCGUUCUAUGUUGCCAGCGCGUUAUGGCGGGGACUCAUAGGAGACUGCCGGGGUCAACUCGGAGGAAGGUGGGGACGACGUCAAAUCAUCAUGCCCCUUAUGUCUUGGGCUUCACGCAUGCUACAAUGGCCGGUACAAAGGGUUGCGAUACUGUGAGGUGGAGCUAAUCCCAAAAAGCCGGUCUCAGUUCGGAUUGGGGUCUGCAACUCGACCCCAUGAAGUCGGAGUCGCUAGUAAUCGCAGAUCAGCAACGCUGCGGUGAAUACGUUCCCGGGCCUUGUACACACCGCCCGUCAAGUCACGAAAGUUGGUAACACCCGAAGCCGGUGGC
RNAcentral lists this ribosomal RNA (1365 nucleotides) under Arthrobacter sp. 2PF1lan. RNAcentral describes it as "bacterial SSU rRNA". It matches the Rfam family "Bacterial small subunit ribosomal RNA", at positions 58 to 1434 of the family's 1533-position model. Lineage: Bacteria; Bacillati; Actinomycetota; Actinomycetes; Micrococcales; Micrococcaceae. The record is from RNAcentral.